Molecule: ribosomal RNA, 284 nt
Filed under: [Clostridium] colinum
Lineage: Bacteria; Bacillati; Bacillota; Clostridia; Lachnospirales; Lachnospiraceae
Description: partial 16S ribosomal RNA
Rfam family: Bacterial small subunit ribosomal RNA
Source: RNAcentral
UCUGGUCCUUUUGUGCCCGCAGCCGCGGUAAUACGUAUGGUGCAAGCGUUAUCCGGAUUUCCUGGGUGUAAAGGGUGAGUAGGCGGUCAUGCAAGUCAUAUGUGAAAUGUCAGGGCUUAACCUUGGCGCUGCAUAAGAAACUGUAUGACUAGAGUGCAGGAGAGGUAAGCGGAAUUCCUAGUGUAGCGGUGAAAUGCGUAGAUAUUAGGAAGAACACCGGUGGCGAAGGCGGCUUACUGGACUGUUACUGACGCUGAGUCACGAAAGCGUGGGGAGCAAACAGG